Molecule: ribosomal RNA, 206 nt
Filed under: uncultured bacterium
Lineage: Bacteria
Description: partial 16S ribosomal RNA
Rfam family: Bacterial small subunit ribosomal RNA
Source: RNAcentral
CACGUAGGCGGACUCUUAAGUCAGGGGUGAAAUCCUGGAGCUCAACUCCAGAACUGCCUUUGAUACUGGGAGUCUUGAGUUCGGGAGAGGUGAGUGGAACUGCGAGUGUAGAGGUGAAAUUCGUAGAUAUCGGGAGGAACACCAGUGGCGAAGGCGGCCCCCUGGUUGGAUACUGACGCUGAGACGCGAAAGCGUGGGAGCAAACA